This 80-nucleotide transfer RNA is filed under the name Sphingobium scionense. Its description in RNAcentral is "tRNA-Ser". Lineage: Bacteria; Pseudomonadati; Pseudomonadota; Alphaproteobacteria; Sphingomonadales; Sphingobiaceae. The record is from RNAcentral.
GCGGGCGAAGGGGAAGACACGACUCCCUUUAAAAUCCAGUUCCGAGAGGAGUGCCGGUUCGACCCCGGCCACCCGCACCA